GCAGGUCAGAGCUGGGAGCAGUCACAGAAGCAGCCCACAGAGCAGACCUGUGCCGGGAGCAGAGCUGGAGCAAGGGGGGCCAGAGAAGCAGCCCAGGGAGCUGAAGGCGGAGCAGCAGCCGCAGCCGAGCUGAGGCCGAGUGGAGCUGGGGCUGGAGCCGGAGCUGGAGCUGGAGCCGGGACUGGGGCUGGAGCCGCCCGGAGCCGGGUGCGGGGAGCAGCCAGGAAGAGGAGGGGGACCCUGGACAGUGGGCCCAGCGCAGGGAGACGCCCCCCAGCCAAGAGGCUCUGCAGGCCAGACUUGGGGGGAUCGUAACCCCGAUUGGGCGGGGGCGACGCUGGGAAGAAGGGUCCUGCCCCCUAGAGCCUGAGAGCGUGUGGCCACCGCCAGAGAAGUGUCCGACCCGCAGCGUCCCUGCAGCACAGCCAGGGACUGGGCAGGGGCCUGGGACGUUUGAGGAACUGACUGACUUUCCCUGACAUUGCAGAGACGCUGGCUGUGACGUCCCCGUGCCACAGAGCGGGGUGACAGGGCCCAUGGCACCGUAAAUGCACACAUGGCUCGAAGGGAACCCCAGGGGUCCUGGAAAGGGAGGACAUGAUAGGAGGGACUUCCAGAACCAUACAGCCAACUCAUUGGACCAAAAAGAGGGACGUGCAAUCUAAUGCUGGAGUCUAAUUGGGGCAAUAUCAUGGGGGAAGGGGAGUUGGAAACCUGUCAAAAAUAUAUGCUGAGGAAAGGGCCAAGGGAAGCCUGGCUGUGAACAGGUACCAGCGUUCCUGGGGGUUGAGCCGAGGCCGUUGUUGUUGAUCUGCCUUUAUGCAGCGUUGGAAACAUUCCUUUCCAAGUACAAGCUACUGCCGAUGGCAGCCAGCCCAGCUGAGACAAAGGGCAGUGGGGCAGGGAUGAAGCUGAUAUGGAGCCAACACAGACUGCUUGUGAGGCUAGAAAACCCAUCGGUUACAGCUACAACCCCAAGCUGAUGGAUAGGCCCAGGAGAGAAACUGAAGCCCUGUCUAGAUCAGUGAGAGGGGUGCAUACACGGAGGAGCUCCCAGGUCAGGGCAUCCUGUGCAGCUCUGAUCCUGCCAGAGCUCUUAUCUGCUAAACCACAAUGCAGCACAUGUUCUCCGUCCCAGCUGGGCCUGUCUGCGAUCUCACUGCCGUGAACCAGGAGGAAUCCAUCUGGACUCAGUGUCGGAGAGAGGAGAACCAGGCCCAUAUUGUGCUGCUGGUGCGAGAGCACAUGGGCACUCGGGGGCACCAUCCAGCUGACAAUUCACAAAGAGGCUGGCCUCAGAGGAGCUCACCAGGGAAUCACUAAGGUUGACUGAUGAUGUACACAUCAUACAGUGAGAAAGAAACAUCCCUUCCCCGGGGAGACACAGGGCUGCAUUCUCCCCAUGGGAAAUUACAGUGUUUCGUUGUGGAUGAGAGUUCCCCAAGCCAAGCUGGAUUCUGCUCGCCUCUCCUGCUGACAGCGCGUGGGUAAUGCUAGCUGGACUCCUGCCCGGACUCUUGCAUAAAUACUCCUUUGUCUACAGGCAGCUGGGCACCACACACCACGACUGAUAACCCUCCUCCGCAGUGCACAAUUCAGACCUGCUCCCUGUCCAGCGCUGGCUGAGAAAGGAACGGAGCAGGUAGCAGGAAUGUGAGUUGUGAAAUGCAGCGUCGAUUGCAAACAACCUGAACCACGUAUCGCAGACGCAAACACCAGCCAGAUAACCAGCCAGCCAAACAUGCAGGGCCCUGGUGUCAGGCCCGAAACACCCCCCCGGGGUGACCCCAGGAGGGAAUCUGGCCCUGUGCUUCCUUAGUGUUGAACAAUCCAUUCAUUCACUCAGUAUAAAUGUUUAAAGUGGCGGUGUGACAUUCAGCGUGAUCAAAUUGACGCUCGCCGAAAGGUGGAAUUCAGGUGGGAGGAGAUACCAAAGACAGGGCGAAGGACAUUUUCCUUCUCUGUUUCCAUGUUCCAUGGUUCCCACUGCAAGGAAAUAAUGCAGAGAAUUCAAAGGGGGGGACACAAAAAUGAUCCAGGGGCUUGAAAACAAGCGGUUCCAGGUAAGGGUAGAGGAGCUCAACGGAAUCAGCUGAUCAAAGAGAAGCGUCGCGCGGUGACUUGAUUGCUGUGUCUAACACAUGGACGGGA
Malaclemys terrapin pileata is the source of this 2151-nucleotide long non-coding RNA. RefSeq lists it as uncharacterized. The record is from RefSeq and is a predicted model, not a curated record. NCBI's taxonomy places the organism in Eukaryota, Metazoa, Chordata, Testudines, Emydidae. The transcript is spliced from 6 exons.